AAUAGUCUGCCACCGGGUAGAGAAGCGAAAGCAUUCGUUACACAUCGUUAGGUCGUUGAAGAUGUGUAGAUGGAUGCUUUUUAUUUU
RNAcentral lists this non-coding RNA (87 nucleotides) under unclassified sequences. The record is from RNAcentral.